Molecule: microRNA precursor, 123 nt
Filed under: Gossypium hirsutum (cotton)
Lineage: Eukaryota; Viridiplantae; Streptophyta; Magnoliopsida; Malvales; Malvaceae
Description: MIR7504 microRNA precursor family
Rfam family: MIR7504 microRNA precursor family
Source: Rfam by way of RNAcentral
AAUAGUCUUAUGCCACAUCAGUAUUUUUAUCUUGAAUUUCAACAUUUUUAUCUUGGAAAAAAUUAAAUCCAAAUUAAAAUAUUAAAAUUUAGGAUGAAAUUACUAAUGUGACAUAAAACUAUU